UGGGGAAUAUUGGACAAUGGGCGGAAGCCUGAUCCAGCAACGCCGCGUGAGGGAUGACGGCCUUCGGGUUGUAAACCUCUUUCAGCACAGACGAAGCGAAAGUGACGGUAUGUGCAGAAGAAGCACCGGCCAACUACGUGCCAGCAGCCGCGGUAAUACGUAGGGUGCGAGCGUUGUCCGGAAUUAUUGGGCGUAAAGGGCUCGUAGGCGGUUUGUCGCGUCGGGAGUGAAAACACACAGCUUAACUGUGUGCUUGCUUCCGAUACGGGCAGACUAGAGGUAUGCAGGGGAGAACGGAAUUCCUGGUGUAGCGGUGAAAUGCGCAGAUAUCAGGAGGAACACCGGUGGCGAAGGCGGUUCUCUGGGCAUUACCUGACGCUGAGGAGCGAAAGUGUGGGGAGCGAACAGG
This 409-nucleotide ribosomal RNA is filed under the name Bacillota bacterium. RNAcentral describes it as "Firmicutes bacterium partial 16S ribosomal RNA". It matches the Rfam family "Bacterial small subunit ribosomal RNA", at positions 355 to 776 of the family's 1533-position model. Lineage: Bacteria; Bacillati; Bacillota. The record is from RNAcentral.